This 496-nucleotide ribosomal RNA is filed under the name uncultured bacterium. Its description in RNAcentral is "partial 16S ribosomal RNA". It matches the Rfam family "Bacterial small subunit ribosomal RNA", at positions 29 to 507 of the family's 1533-position model. The record is from RNAcentral.
AUGAACGCUGGCGGCGUGCCUAAUACCUGCAAGUCGAGCGAACAGAUGAGGAGCUUGCUCCUCUGACGUUAGCGGCGGACGGGUGAGUAACCCGUGGAUAACCUACCUAUAAGACUGGGAUAACUACGGGAAACCGGAGCUAAUACCGGAUAAUAUAUUGAACCGCAUGGUUCAAUAGUGAAAGACGGUUUUGCUGUCACUUAUAGAUGGAUCCGCGCCGCAUUAGCUAGUUGGUAAGGUAACGGCUUACCAAGGCAACGAUGCGUAGCCGACCUGAGAGGGUGAUCGGCCACACUGGAACUGAGACACGGUCCAGACUCCUACGGGAGGCAGCAGUAGGGAAUCUUCCGCAAUGGGCGAAAGCCUGACGGAGCAACGCCGCGUGAGUGAUGAAGGUCUUCGGAUCGUAAAACUCUGUUAUUAGGGAAGAACAAAUGUGUAAGUAACUAUGCACGUCUUGACGGUACCUAAUCAGAAAGCCACGGCUAACUACGUG